This 451-nucleotide ribosomal RNA is filed under the name uncultured bacterium. Its description in RNAcentral is "bacterial SSU rRNA". It matches the Rfam family "Bacterial small subunit ribosomal RNA", at positions 40 to 500 of the family's 1533-position model. The record is from RNAcentral.
CGGUGCGCCUUAUGCAUGCAAGUCGAGCGAAGCUUUUCAGUAGUUUACUACAGAAAAUGACUGAGCGGCGAACGGGUGAGUAACGCGUGAGCAAUCUACCUUAGUUACAGGGAUAGCCCGAGGAAACUCGGAUUAAUACCUGAUAUUCUUUAUAUUUCGCAUGAAAUUAAAAGGAAAGGUCAGCCGAACUAAGAUGAGCUCGCGUUCUAUCAGCUAGUUGGUGAGGUAAAAGCUUACCAAGGCUACGACGGAUAGCUGGUCUGAGAGGACGAUCAGCCACACUGGGACUGAGACACGGCCCAGACUCCUACGGGAGGCUGCAGCAGGGAAUAUUGCGCAAUGAGCGAAAGCUUGACGCAGCGACACCGCGUGUGGGAUGACGGAUCUAGGUUUGUAAACCACUUUCAGGAGGGAAGAAAAUGACGGUACCUCCACAAGAAGCCCCGGCCAA